This 253-nucleotide ribosomal RNA is filed under the name uncultured bacterium. RNAcentral's name for it is "partial 16S ribosomal RNA". It matches the Rfam family "Bacterial small subunit ribosomal RNA", at positions 524 to 776 of the family's 1533-position model. The record is from RNAcentral.
UACGAAGGGGGCUAGCGUUGCUCGGAAUCACUGGGCGUAAAGCGCACGUAGGCGGCUUUUUAAGUCAGGGGUGAAAUCCUGGAGCUCAACUCCAGAACUGCCUUUGAUACUGAGAAGCUUGAGUCCGGGAGAGGUGAGUGGAACUGCGAGUGUAGAGGUGAAAUUCGUAGAUAUUCGCAAGAACACCAGUGGCGAAGGCGGCUCACUGGCCCGGAACUGACGCUGAGACGCGAAAGCGUGGGGAGCAAACAGG